GUGCUCACUUCAGUAGCACAUAUACUAAAAUUGAAAUGAUAAAGAGAAGAUUAGCAUGACCCCUACACAAGGAUGACACACAAAUUUGUGAAGCAUGCUAUCUUUUA
Small nuclear RNA from Monodelphis domestica (gray short-tailed opossum), 107 nucleotides. The record is from Ensembl. Lineage: Eukaryota; Metazoa; Chordata; Mammalia; Didelphimorphia; Didelphidae.